Molecule: ribosomal RNA, 751 nt
Filed under: uncultured Bacilli bacterium
Lineage: Bacteria; Bacillati; Bacillota; Bacilli
Description: bacterial SSU rRNA
Rfam family: Bacterial small subunit ribosomal RNA
Source: RNAcentral
GACGAACGCUGGCGGCGUGCCUAAUACAUGCAAGUCGAGCGGACCCGACGGGAGCUUGCUCCCUUAGGUCAGCGGCGGACGGGUGAGUAACACGUGGGUAACCUGCCUGUAAGACUGGGAUAACUCCGGGAAACCGGGGCUAAUACCGGAUGCUUGAUUGAACCGCAUGGUUCAAUCAUAAAAGGUGGCUUUUAGCUACCACUUGCAGAUGGACCCGCGGCGCAUUAGCUAGUUGGUGAGGUAACGGCUCACCAAGGCGACGAUGCGUAGCCGACCUGAGAGGGUGAUCGGCCACACUGGGACUGAGACACGGCCCAGACUCCUACGGGAGGCAGCAGUAGGGAAUCUUCCGCAAUGGACGAAAGUCUGACGGAGCAACGCCGCGUGAGUGAUGAAGGUUUUCGGAUCGUAAAACUCUGUUGUUAGGGAAGAACAAGUACCGUUCGAAUAGGGCGGUACCUUGACGGUACCUAACCAGAAAGCCACGGCUAACUACGUGCCAGCAGCCGCGGUAAUACGUAGGUGGCAAGCGUUGUCCGGAAUUAUUGGGCGUAAAGCGCGCGCAGGCGGUUUCUUAAGUCUGAUGUGAAAGCCCCCGGCUCAACCGGGGAGGGUCAUUGGAAACUGGGGAACUUGAGUGCAGAAGAGGAGAGUGGAAUUCCACGUGUAGCGGUGAAAUGCGUAGAGAUGUGGAGGAACACCAGUGGCGAAGGCGACUCUCUGGUCUGUAACUGACGCUGAGGCGCGAAAG